Cercocebus atys (sooty mangabey) is the source of this 4224-nucleotide RNA transcript. It is a transcript of the gene named eukaryotic translation initiation factor 3 subunit L pseudogene, with no coding region annotated. The record is from RefSeq and is a predicted model, not a curated record. The transcript has a single exon. Lineage: Eukaryota; Metazoa; Chordata; Mammalia; Primates; Cercopithecidae.
CAGUGUCUGCUGUUUCCCUUUGUGUCCAUGAGUUCUCAUCAUUUAGCUCCCACUUAUAAGUGAGACUGGGUGACUGCUGACCUGCAUCUCUCUUGGGUGGACCUCCCAAGACAUAAGCAAAAGACCCUUGACCACAACCACUACCAAGGUCCCUUUCUCCUCUGCCUCCAAGUUGGGGAGGAAACAUAAGCCCUAAGAUCACCCCAGAGCUGUGGUGGGAAGCCCAGGAGAGAUAAAACCUGAGUAGUUUUAAACUAGAAUAUGCAUGUAGCUUUUUAAAGAUGUUUGCAAUAUUUUUGCUAUUCUCCCCUUGAGAUUUUGGGGUCUAUGCCCACCCUUACCAGACUGGACACUAGUGCUCACUUGUCACUGACACAUUACAUGAAAGUGAUGCUGUGUAACUUUCAAAGUUAUGUUUAAAAAGGCCUGGUUCACUCAGGUCACUCACCUGUGUGCCCUUGACCACCAAGUCAAAGCUCUGAAUGUCCUAAGACUGUUCUGCUACCUGGAAGCCCAGGGUACCUGGGAGGUCUCCUAUAGGCCCUGCAGCCAAAGUCCCAUGUCCUCUGCAGACAUGUGAGUGAAGUCACUUCCAGAUGAUGCCAACCCUUUGCUAUGGAUUCAACUCUAGCCAAUGAGUCUUCUCUGCAGUCCCCAAACACCAAUGAGCAGCAAUAAGCCAUCUUUUCUGUGCCUUCCUAGCCCUGUGAACCAUGAACAAAAUAAAGUGGUUGUUUUAUGCGUUAUUUGGUGCUGGUGGUUCUUUCUUAAAAAAAAAAAAUCACAGUAAAAGCACCAAGAAUAACACACUUGUAAGACAUUCAAAAGGUACAAAGUAACAUACACUGAAAUCUAGGUUUCCUUCUUUCCCUCUUCCACAACCUAUCAGGUUCUGCUUCUGGAAGUAACAAUGGUUAAGUUUCUGCACAUCUUUCCAGAUUUGUUAAUUAAACAAUCAUAUAGCACUGACACAGUGAGGAAGCUUUUUAAAGGCUUUACUUACAUUUAUUCAUUUACUCUUCAUUCACUGUGGACACUCAGGUGGCAGGAGGAAGGAAAGUAUUUUGCUCAACCAAAUGAAAGUCUGAUCUGCUCUUUGAAUGCUGUUCCCUCAAUCAUAUGGUUCUAUUUUCUUGAUAUAUUCCCAAAUCUUUAUUAUUUUCUCCCUAAUUGAGCAUUCAGAGAUGUAAUGCUGUUUUCUAGUUUUUCUUCCGUUUCACCACUAAAUCUUAAAUUUCAUAUGAGACAGGCAGUGAUGAAAUUCCUGAGUCACUGGACAUAUGUAUAUGUAUGUUUGUGAUGGUAACACACACACACACACACACACAUAUUUUUCUAUCUAGUUAUUAACCAUUAACAUUCUAUACUCAGAGUGAGGAAAUAUUACACGUUCCUUCCCAAACUCUGUCAACUACCCCCUCACUUAAAUAAUCCCUGAAAAAAUGGCAACAUCCAUAUUAAUGCAGUUUUUAUCUCAUCAAUGACCCAUUUGAUAAAAUAGUUCUAGAAACUUGUAAUGCAUCAGCAAUGAUGGAAAUUUGUACUGAACCAUUUCAUAUCUAAAAGGGUAUCUACUUUGUUUUAGACAUGACAACUCUGUCAUGUUUAUUUUAGAAUUUUCCAUUGCUGCAUGUUUAAAGGGCUUGUCAAUUCCCCUCCCUUUCCUAAUUUUCAUGACCAGAUCAUAAGAAUGUGUGUGAUCAGGCUGACUGAUGUGCCACAACACAUAUUUAAUCCUGGAAUUUAGGGUUAUCAGAAGUCUCCAUUUAAAAAAGAAUUAAUUAUAUGUUUUCAAACAGCCGGCUGGUGAAUAUAUAGUGCUUCAUUUUUCUUAAUGUCUCAGUGAAUAGCCAGCCUUUUAUGUAUACAUUAAUAGAGGAUCUCUCAAAAAAUUCAGAGAUUCAGAAAUAAGUACAUAAACUUAAUUGCAUAGAGAGAAAAAACAGGUACUAUACAUAAGUGAUAGAAGAAGGUUUUAUAUAAUUAUUUUUUAAAACUAAAUUUAUAAUAAUGCUUUUUAAACUAAAUCUGGAACAAAUUUUAAAUUAUUUAAUCUAGAAAUGUCCAGUGAUUCAGGAACAGUAGAAAUGGGUGGGGAGGGCAUUUCAACUCAAGCAUGGAACUCCUUUUAUUCUCAACAUGUUAGCUUUUUCUCUCUUCACUCUGAAAUGUUCACUAUCAAAUAUAUUUGAGAGACAGGUCUUUUUUCCUCAUUUAACAUUUAUUUCAUACACAGAGAAUAAUACUGUGGGUCUGGGAUUCAGUUUUUGAAAUGCAACGUAUAAUCUAAGUGACCAUUUACCCAUGUCAAAGUAGCAGCAGUUGGACCCCAUAAUGUGGCAUGUAUUCACUAGAAAAUUCUACAGUGACCUAUCACUGUGAUCAUGUGAUGAACCAUAUCUUGCCUUCCAUUCUAAUCAUCACUCUGUGAGCUUCGAGAUUCAAGGUUGACAGCAUUUGUCAAUUUCAAAAUGUCAUACAAAGAGUGCUCAAAUAUGGGGAAUUUUGUGUACUGUUGCUGAGACAUGUUCACUUUCACCUUCUGAUUGUGGUUUCUUCAAAUAGGCCAAUUCACUUGUACUCAAAAUGUCUUCCUCAUUUUUUUGUUUCUCCCGCUCCAAUUUGUCUAUGGAUUUAUGAGCAUGUGUUAUAGUAUUAUUACUGAUUUGUACUUUUGAUUCUUCCACCAAGCUUUUUGUCUUAAAUAUUUUCCUAUUUUUAGAAAAAUGUAGUGUUUCUCCACACCACUUUUGUACCCAAUCUUUCAUAGAAUAGAUACAGAAAAAACACAACCACACUGCCUUCAUCAGAUGAAGAGAAUCUUGAUACCAAAUACAAUAUGAGACAUUCCAUGAAAGGGAAAUUAUAGACCAAAGUCUUCUGAGUAUAAAUGUCAAAAUCUGAAACCAAAUAUUAGAGUGGCCUAAAUCUGGAGAUUUUUAGGAAAAAAACUGAAAUUUCAUGGUGGGAAACAUAAUUUUGCCUAGUUUAGAAGUUUUGAGGGGUUGUUUUAAAGAAAAAUUUAAAAGAUAAAUAAUAUUAAAUGAAUAUAAAGAGUUAUAAAAUAAAAAUAUUAUAAAAGGUUAUCAAAAUGUUUAUGAAAUUAUUUUGCAGUCAAGAUUGAUUGGGAUUAGAUUUGUUUAUAAGGUCUUAUUAAAAUUAGCCAUAAUAUUAAAAAUACAUUAAUACCCAACUAAAUUUAAAAAAAAAAAUAAGCUUAAGAUUUGUUCUCCAUCAAACUUGACAAAAAGUGUAUGUAUUCCCGUGUGCCAGAGUGCCAGGUCACCACAUAACAAUUAUGUUGGGUUUGCAUAUUUGAUGAUGUGUCGCUACCAGGAUGCCAUCUGGGUCUUCGCCAACAUCCUCCUCUAGAUCCAGAGGACCAAGAGCAUGUUCCAGAGGACCACAUACAAGUAUGAGAUGAUUAACAAGCAGAAUGAGCAGACGCAUGCGCUACUGGCCAUUGCUCUCACGAUGUACCCCAUAGGUAUCGAUGAAAGUAUUCACCCCCAGCUACAGAAGAAAUAUGGGGACAAGAUGCUGCACAUGCAGAAAGGUGACCCACAAGUCUAUGAAGAACUUUUCAGUUACUCCUGCCCCAAGUUCCUGUCGCCUGUAUUGCCCAACUACGAUAAUGUGCACCCCAACUACCACAAAGAGUCCUUCCUGCAGCAGUUGAAGGUGUUUUCUGAAGUACAGCAGCAGGCCCACCUUUCAACCAUCCCCGGCUUCCUCAAGCUUUACAUCACCAUGCCUGUGGCCAAGCUGGCUGGCUUCCUGGACCUCACAGAGCAGGAGUUCAGGAUCCAGCUUCCUGUCUUCAAACACAAGAUGAAGAACUUGGUGUGGACCAGCGGCAUCACAACCCUGGAUGGUGAAUUUAGUCAGCCUCAGAGGUUAACUUCUACAUUGAUAAUGACAUGACCCACAUCGCAGACACCAAGGUCGCCAGGUGCUAUGGGGAUUUCUUAAUCCAUCAGAGCCACAAAUUCGAAGAGCUUAAUCGAACUCUGAAGAAGAUGGGACAGAGACCCUGACAACAUUUACACACAUUAUUUAGGAACCGGUUUUGAUAUAUUAUAGGCAGGAAGUGUUUUUGCUACCAUGAAACCUUUACCUAGAUCAGCCAUCAGCCUGUCAACUCAGUUAACAAAUUAAGGACCAAAGUGUUUCAAGUGGAUAUCAGUAAAGGAUCUUUGGAGCCAGGAAAAAAAAAAAAAAAAA